AUUGAACGCUGGCGGCAGGCCUAACACAUGCAAGUCGAACGAGUGGCGGACGGGUGAGUAAUGUCUGGGAAACUGCCAGAGGGAGGGGGAUAACUACUGGAAACGGUAGCUAAUACCGCAUACCAUCGGAUGUGCCCAGAUGGGAUGAGAUUGUGGGUGGGGUAAAGGCGCACCUAGGCGACGAUCCCUAGCUGGUCUGAGAGGAUGACCAGCACCACUGGACCUUGGACACGGUCCAGACUCCUACGGGAGGCAGCAGUGGGGAAUAUUGCACAAUGGGCGCAAGCCUGAUGCAGCAAUGCCGCGUGUAUGAAGAAGGCCUUCGGGUUGUAAAGGACUUUCAGCGGGGAGGCGUUACCCGCAGAAGAAGCACCGGCUAACUCCGUGCCAGCAGCCGCGGUAAUAC
Molecule: ribosomal RNA, 406 nt
Filed under: uncultured bacterium
Lineage: Bacteria
Description: partial 16S ribosomal RNA
Rfam family: Bacterial small subunit ribosomal RNA
Source: RNAcentral